Molecule: ribosomal RNA, 329 nt
Filed under: uncultured eukaryote
Lineage: Eukaryota
Description: partial 18S ribosomal RNA
Rfam family: Eukaryotic small subunit ribosomal RNA
Source: RNAcentral
CCCUUAGAUGUCCUGGGCUGCACGCGCGCUACACUGACGAACUCAACGAGCUUAUCACCUUGGCAGAGAUGUCUGGGUAAUCUUUUGAAAGUUCGUCGUGCUGGGGAUAGAUGAUUGUAAUUAUUCGUCUUGAACGAGGAAUUCCUAGUAAGUGUGAGUCAUCAGCUCGCGCUGAUUACGUCCCUGCCCUUUGUACACACCGCCCGUCGCUCCUACCGAUUGAAUGGUCCGGUGAGGUCCUCGGAUUUUUUCUGUUGUUUGGUUCGCUAAACGAUUGAAGAGAGAAGUUACCCAAACCUUACCAUUUAGAGGAAGGAGAAGUCGUAACA